UACGUAGGAUGCAAGCGUUGUCCGGAAUUAUUGGGCGUAAAGAGUUUGUAGGCGGUUGCUUAAGUCUGUCGUUAAAGGUCGGAGCUCAACUCCGGUAUGGCGAUGGAAACUGGGCGGCUAGAGUAUGACAGAGGUAACUGGAAUUCCAGGUGUAGCGGUGAAAUGCGUAGAUAUCUGGAGGAACACCAGUGGCGAAAGCGGGUUACUGGGUCAUUACUGACGCUGAAGAACGAAAGCCAGGGUAGCAAAAGGG
RNAcentral lists this ribosomal RNA (253 nucleotides) under uncultured bacterium. RNAcentral's name for it is "partial 16S ribosomal RNA". It matches the Rfam family "Bacterial small subunit ribosomal RNA", at positions 524 to 776 of the family's 1533-position model. The record is from RNAcentral.